AAUUAAAUAUUUAAUUUUCUCGAUUUUAAAAGAGUUAAUAUAUUAUGAAAGUUAAUGUGGCAAAAUUAUUUUUAAUAAUAUAUUAGAAAUGAAAUGUUAUUCGUUUUUAAAGGUAUCUAGUUCUUUAAGAAAUAAAUUUAAUUUAGAAAUUUUAUAUUAUUUAGUUAGUUAAAUUAAUUAAAUAAUUAUUUAAUUUUAAUAUUUUAUGGGAUAAGCUGUAAAAUAAAUUAUUAAAAAUAUUUAAAUAAUAUAAUAAAUAUAGAUUUAGAAAUAGUUAUUAUUAGUAAAAGUGUUAUAAUUUAUCUUAUAAAUGUUAAUUAUUUAUUUAAAUUUUAAUUUUUUAUUAAAGUAUUCAUUUUAAUUUUAAAAAUGAAGUAAUAAUGAUAAAAUUAGUAUAUAUUUAUGUAUAAAUAAGUUUAUAUGAAAAGUUUUUAUAAAGAACUCGGCAAAAUUAAUGUCCGCCUGUUUAACAAAAACAUGUCUUUUUGAAUUAUUUAAAAAGUCUAACCUGCCCACUGAAUUAUUUUAAAUGGCCGCAGUAUCCUAGCUGUGCAAAGGUAGCAUAAUCAUUAGUCUUUUAAUUGAAGGCUGGUAUGAGUGGUUGGACGAGAUAUUAACUGUUUCAUAAAAAUUUAUAAUAGAAUUUUAUUUUUUAGUCAAAAAGCUAAAAUAAAUUUAAAAGACGAGAAGCCCCUAUAAAUCUUUAUAUUUAGAUAAUUACAAUUUUGUGGAUUUUUUUUGUUGUGAUUGUUGAUAAUAUUUUAUUGGGGUGAUAUUAAAAUUUAAAAAACUUUUAAUUAAUUUAAUCAUUAAUUUAUGGAUAAUUGAUCCGUUAUUAACGAUUAAAAAUUUAAGUUACUUUAGGGAUAACAGCGUAAUUUUUUUGGAGAGUUCAUAUCGAUAAAAAAGAUUGCGACCUCGAUGUUGGAUUAAGAGAUAUAUUUUGGUGUAGUCGCUAAAAUGUUAAGUCUGUU
This 974-nucleotide ribosomal RNA is filed under the name Musca domestica (house fly). RNAcentral's name for it is "partial large subunit ribosomal RNA". Lineage: Eukaryota; Metazoa; Arthropoda; Insecta; Diptera; Muscidae. The record is from RNAcentral.